UGAGGAAUAUUGGUCAAUGGGCGAGAGCCUGAACCAGCCAAGUAGCGUGCAGGAUGACGGCCCUAUGGGUUGUAAACUGCUUUUAUGUGGGGAUAAAGUGCGUGACGUGUCAUGCAUUGCAGGUACCACAUGAAUAAGGACCGGCUAAUUCCGUGCCAGCAGCCGCGGUAAUACGGAAGGUCCGGGCGUUAUCCGGAUUUAUUGGGUUUAAAGGGAGCGUAGGCUGUCUAUUAAGCGUGUUGUGAAAUUUACCGGCUCAACCGGUGGCUUGCAGCGCGAACUGGUCGACUUGAGUAUGCAGGAAGUAGGCGGAAUUCAUGGUGUAGCGGUGAAAUGCUUAGAUAUCAUGACGAACUCCGAUUGCGCAGGCAGCUUACUGUAGCAUAACUGACGCUGAUGCUCGAAAGUGCGGGUAUCAAACAGGA
This 425-nucleotide ribosomal RNA is filed under the name Variovorax paradoxus. RNAcentral's name for it is "partial 16S ribosomal RNA". It matches the Rfam family "Bacterial small subunit ribosomal RNA", at positions 355 to 777 of the family's 1533-position model. Lineage: Bacteria; Pseudomonadati; Pseudomonadota; Betaproteobacteria; Burkholderiales; Comamonadaceae. The record is from RNAcentral. RNAcentral also lists the same sequence under 1 other name.